RNAcentral lists this ribosomal RNA (2226 nucleotides) under Clostridium haemolyticum. RNAcentral describes it as "bacterial LSU rRNA". It matches the Rfam family "Bacterial large subunit ribosomal RNA", at positions 1 to 2248 of the family's 2925-position model. The record is from RNAcentral. Lineage: Bacteria; Bacillati; Bacillota; Clostridia; Eubacteriales; Clostridiaceae.
GAUCAAGCUACAAAGGGCGCACGGUGAAUGCCCUGGCACUAGGAGCCGAUGAAGGACGUGAUAAGCUGCGAUAAGCUACAUGUAGGCGCACAUAGCCUGUGAUAUGUAGAUUUCCGAAUGGGGAAACCCAUCUAGUUAUGCUAGAUACUGUAUACUGAAUUCAUAGGUAUAUGGAGGUACACCUGGGGAACUGAAACAUCUAAGUACCCAGAGGAAGAGAAAGAAAAUUCGAUUCCCUAAGUAGCGGCGAGCGAAAGGGGAAGAGCCCAAACCAGGAACUUGUUCCUGGGGUUGCGGAUAGAUCAUAACGCUUUGAUUUCUUUAGUUGAAGAGAACUGGAAAGUUCCGUCGUAGAAGGUAAUAACCCUGUAGGCGAAAAGGAAAGAAAAGUAGAUCUACUCCAGAGUACCACGAGACACGUGAAACCUUGUGGGAAGCUGGGAGGACCAUCUCCCAAGGCUAAAUACUACCUAGUGACCGAUAGUGAAGCAGUACCGUGAGGGAAAGGUGAAAAGAACCCCGGAAGGGGAGUGAAAUAGAAUCUGAAACCGUGUGCCUACAAUCGGUCGGAGCACAUUAAAGUGUGACGGCGUACUUUUUGUAGAACGGGCCAGCGAGUUACGAUAUAUAGCAAGGUUAAGCACUUAUGGUGUGGAGCCGAAGGGAAACCGAGUCUGAAUAGGGCAACUAGUUGUAUAUUGUAGACCCGAAACCGGGUGACCUAUCCAUGGCCAGGAUGAAGCGGAAGUAAAAUUCCGUGGAGGUCCGAACCACGUUGGUGUUGAAAACCAUGGGAUGAGCUGUGGAUAGCGGAGAAAUUCCAAUCGAACUCGGAGAUAGCUGGUUCUCCUCGAAAUAGCUUUAGGGCUAGCGUCGGGUAAUUGAGUAGUGGAGGUAGAGCACUGAAUGGGCUAGGGGCUGACAACAGUUACUGAACCCUAUCAAACUCCGAAUGCCAUAUACUUGUACCCCGGCAGUCAGACUACGAAUGAUAAGAUCCGUGGUCAAAAGGGAAACAGCCCAGACCAUCAGCUAAGGUCCCAAAGUGUAAGUUAAGUGGGAAAGGAUGUGGGAUUUCUAAGACAACUAGGAUGUUGGCUUAGAAGCAGCCACUCAUUUAAAGAGUGCGUAAUAGCUCACUAGUCGAGAGAUCCUGCGCCGAAGAUGUAACGGGGCUUAAACUUACCACCGAAGCUAUGGAUGUGUACUUUGUACACGUGGUAGAGGAGCUUUCUGUACAGGUUGAAGUCAUACCGUAAGGAGUGGUGGACAGUACAGAAGUGAGAAUGCUGGCAUAAGUAGCGAAAAACAAGUGAGAAUCUUGUUGACCGAAUAUCUAAGGUUUCCUGGGGAAGGCUUGUCCUCCCAGGGUUAGUCGGGACCUAAGCCGAGGCCGAAAGGCGUAGGUGAUGGACAACUGGUUGAUAUUCCAGUACCACCAUAAUGCGUUUGACAAAUGGGAUGACGCAGGAGGAUAGGAUGUGCGCACUAUUGGAUGUGCGUCUAAGCACUUAGGGUGUUAAGUAGGCAAAUCCGCUUAACAUUAAGCCUGAGGUGUGAUGGGGAGCCUAUUUUGGCGAAGUAUCUGAUUCCACGCUGCCAAGAAAAGUCUCUAUGGAGCAAAGUGGUGCCCGUACCGCAAACCGACACAGGUAGAUGAGGAGAGAAUCCUAAGGUCGUCGGAAGAAUUAUUGCUAAGGAACUCGGCAAAUUGACCCCGUAACUUAGGGAGAAGGGGUGCCUACGAGAGUAGGCCGCAGUGAAUAGGCUCAAGCAACUGUUUAUCAAAAACACAGGUCUCUGCUAAAGCGUAAGCUGAUGUAUAGGGGCUGACGCCUGCCCGGUGCUGGAAGGUUAAGGGGAAUAGUUAGUGCAAGCGAAGCUAUGAACUUAAGCCCCAGUAAACGGCGGCCGUAACUAUAACGGUCCUAAGGUAGCGAAAUUCCUUGUCGGGUAAGUUCCGACCCGCACGAAUGGCGUAAUGAUUUGAGCACUGUCUCGGCAAUAAAUCCGGUGAAAUUGUAGUGCAAGUGAAGAUGCUUGCUACCCGCGGUUGGACGGAAAGACCCCGUAGAGCUUUACUGUAGCUUAGCAUUGAAUUUCGGUAUUGUCUGUACAGGAUAGGUGGGAGACUUAGAAGCGAGGGCGUCAGCUUUCGUGGAGUCGUCCUUGGGAUACCACCCUGACAGUACUGGAAUUCUAACUGGAGGCCUGAAUCUGGUCACA